GGGCAUCACGGAAAAGCUUGCUUUUCUGGUGGCGACCGGCGCACGGGUGCGGAACGCGUAUGGAACCUGCCCCUGUCAGGGGAAUAGCCCAGGGAAACUUGGAUUAAUGCCCCAUGGUACCGCGAUAUCGCAUGAUAUUGCGGUUAAAGAUUUAUCGGACAGGGAUGGCCAUGCGUACCAUUAGUUAGUUGGUGGGGUAACGGCCCACCAAGGCAGCGAUGGUUAGGGGCCCUGAGAGGGGGAUCCCCCACACUGGUACUGAGACACGGACCAGACUCCUACGGGAGGCAGCAGUGAGGAAUAUUGGACAAUGGGCGGGAGCCUGAUCCAGCCAUGCCGCGUGCAGGAUGACGGCCCUAUGGGUUGUAAACUGCUUUUAUACGGGAAGAAAUGCGCCCACGUGUGGGCGUCUGACGGUACCGUAAGAAUAAGGACCGGCUAACUCCGUGCCAGCAGCCGCGGUAAUACGGAGGGUCCGAGCGUUAUCCGGAAUCAUUGGGUUUAAAGGGUCCGUAGGCGGGCCUGUAAGUCAGGGGUGAAAGUUUGUGGCUCAACCAUAAAAUUGCCUUUGAUACUGCAGGUCUUGAGUCAUGGUGGGGUCGCCGGAACAUGUGGUGUAGCGGUGAAAUGCAUAGAUAUCACAUAGAACACCGAUCGCGAAGGCAGGUGGCCAACCAUGUACUGACGCUGAUGGACGAAAGCGUGGGUAGCGAACGGGAUUAGAUACCCCGGUAGUCCACGCCGUAAACGAUGGAUACUAGCUGUGGGGACUUCGGUCUCCGUGGCCAAGCGAAAGUGAU
RNAcentral lists this ribosomal RNA (800 nucleotides) under Allomuricauda sp. RNAcentral describes it as "bacterial SSU rRNA". It matches the Rfam family "Bacterial small subunit ribosomal RNA", at positions 67 to 861 of the family's 1533-position model. The record is from RNAcentral. Lineage: Bacteria; Pseudomonadati; Bacteroidota; Flavobacteriia; Flavobacteriales; Flavobacteriaceae.